AUGCUCCUCUCUCAAGACUGGUAUACUUUCUCACUCUACUCCCUUUACAAAUGCCCUGAUCGAACUUUGCUGAUGAAAUUAUCUUUUCUUAGUUUCUUAGACUUUGGAUGGUGGAGACCUGUGCCUGCUACUUCUCUCAUCUCCCGAUACCUAAUGCAUAGUGUUCAGGCACCAAGGAAGAGAACCAAUGGCAGAAGUCACACGUGCAAGCAAGAUGGGAGUCUGGAGAGCCUCAGGCUAAAUCACCAGUGCUCAGCCCUCUUCUCUUUCAAAGAUCAAAUUCUGGGAGUUUACAUUUCUGAAACUUGGGUCAAGGUCCUGACCAAUCCUCAAAAGAGCAACUGUGUGGACAUCUGUGGCAAUGGUAAGAGUUCUUUAGUGGCCAGUCAGCUCUGUUGUUCUCUCCAGCUAAAUGAAGGCAAGUAAUAUGAAAAGUAGGUCCAAGCACA
This 449-nucleotide long non-coding RNA is filed under the name Macaca fascicularis (crab-eating macaque). RNAcentral describes it as "lncRNA (ENSMFAG00000046834.2)". The record is from RNAcentral. Lineage: Eukaryota; Metazoa; Chordata; Mammalia; Primates; Cercopithecidae.